AUCUAAGAGGCAGUUGCAGUCAGGACAACACUUGUGACAUCAUAGAAGAAGAUAAUGCUCUCCAGGUUACAAGAGAGUUUUCAGGGAGGCUUAAUGUUGAUGUCACUGAGAACUGCCAUGGCCUACCUGCUGAAGACCUUUCCUUAUACUGACCAGAUUCGAGUUUGCACUUUCCAGCUGAGGAGGAAGAGUGUUAGCGGAUGGUGAGACUUUGUCUUACGAUAUAUGUGACACUGUGCCAUCAAUGAGGCAUCAUGCACCAGCUAAUAUGAGGCCUCUAAGAAAGGAGUUCUGUUUCUGGACACAACAAGAGAAGAUGCACAUAACAGUCAAGAGACUUGAGUUCCCAGGGAGUGUAGAGGGCUGGUAGACUAGGGGUGGAGUGGGAAACAUCUUCAUUCAGAUGGGCUUGUGGGUAGUAGGUAUGGGAUGUAGAACAGUCAGAAUAUGGGCUGGGAGAGGGAUGAGAUCUGGAUUGUAAAAUUCUAUUAAAUAAAUUUUAAAAAA
Non-coding RNA from Rattus norvegicus (Norway rat), 507 nucleotides. The record is from RefSeq and is a predicted model, not a curated record. Lineage: Eukaryota; Metazoa; Chordata; Mammalia; Rodentia; Muridae.